Molecule: long non-coding RNA, 759 nt
Filed under: Musa acuminata (dwarf banana)
Lineage: Eukaryota; Viridiplantae; Streptophyta; Magnoliopsida; Zingiberales; Musaceae
Description: long non-coding RNA (MACU_LNC001023)
Source: RNAcentral
GGACUCAAGCUGAUAGCAGAAACUGUAAGCAGUAACAUGUGUGUGAAAACUAGGUCGUCACGCUGAAACAUAAUGUGUUUCCACAAAUUAGCCCAUUUGCACGCGGUCGAAGCUUAGGUGACAAAUUAAGGAUAUGCCGUAGGAGAAGGAAAGGAUGCGAGUUCCUCCUUGCUAACCUAUGAGGCUCACCCCAAACUUGGAACCUUGCACGGCUUUCCAAAUCCGAGGUCACCAAAGACUAUUGAUUUUUCGACUUGAAAGAUCAAUGCGGUGAGCGAUUCCUACCAGAAAAUGGUUCCUUUACACCUAUGUAGAAGUUUCGACUAGAUUAGCAACUCUUAGGCUGUUGAAUUCAAACUACUUCAUUUUCCCCAAGACAUCGCCAAGAAGGCAGAUGGAUGCAAGAAAUCCAUCAUCCAAAAGCAAACUUUAAGGAGCAAGGCCCGGAGUCGAGUCGACGAUUACUCUGGUAACCGAGAAGGGGGAAAAGAAAUCAAAGCAAAAGGAGGCGGAGCUAAAAGAGGCUUACGCAGGGAGAAAUUGUUGUGUCGUCGCCGUUGCUCGCCAGGCCCCAUGAGACGGGUGGGGUUAGUCGAUGGGUCGUCGUCGACCAUCUCGUACGUCUUGCUGACGAACGGCUCGAGUGAGCGGUGGCCGCGGAAGCCGUCGUUCGCCGCAUCGAUUCUUCCGCCGAGAUCAGAGGAGUUCCGAUCGAACCGAAGAAGGGUGGAGACGGGGAUUAGGGACGGUCGGAUAGCG